This 501-nucleotide ribosomal RNA is filed under the name uncultured bacterium. Its description in RNAcentral is "partial 16S ribosomal RNA". It matches the Rfam family "Bacterial small subunit ribosomal RNA", at positions 30 to 523 of the family's 1533-position model. The record is from RNAcentral.
AUUGAACGCUGGCGGCAUGCCUUACACAUGCAAGUCGAACGGCAGCACGGGUGCUUGCACCUGGUGGCGAGUGGCGGACGGGUGAGUAAUAUAUCGGAACGUACCUUAUCGUGGGGGAUAACGCAGCGAAAGCUGUGCUAAUACCGCAUAAGCCCUAAGGGGGAAAGCAGGGGACCGUAAGGCCUUGCGCGAUUAGAGCGGCCGAUACCUGAUUAGCUAGUUGGUGAGGUAAAGGCUCACCAAGGCAACGAUCAGUAGCUGGUCUGAGAGGACGAGCAGCCACACUGGGACUGAGACACGGCCCAGACUCCUACGGGAGGAAGCAGUGGGGAAUUUUGGACAAUGGGGGCAACCCUGAUCCAGCAAUGCCGCGUGAGUGAAGAAGGCCUUCGGGUUGUAAAGCUCUUUUGUCAGGGAAGAAACAGCAGCUCUAAUACAGUAUGCGAAUGACGGUACCUGAAGAAUAAGCACCGGCUAACUACGUGCCAGCCGCCGCCGUAA